This 500-nucleotide ribosomal RNA is filed under the name uncultured bacterium. RNAcentral describes it as "partial 16S ribosomal RNA". It matches the Rfam family "Bacterial small subunit ribosomal RNA", at positions 30 to 523 of the family's 1533-position model. The record is from RNAcentral.
AUUGAACGCUGGCGGCAUGCUUUACACAUGCAAGUCGAACGGCAGCACGGACUUCGGUCUGGUGGCGAGUGGCGAACGGGUGAGUAAUACAUCGGAACGUACCCAGUAAUGGGGGAUAACUAUCCGAAAGGAUAGCUAAUACCGCAUACGCCCUACGGGGGAAAGAGGGGGAUCGCAAGACCUCUUGUUAUUGGAGCGGCCGAUGGCUGAUUAGCUAGUUGGUGAGGUAAAGGCUCACCAAGGCGACGAUCAGUAGCGGGUCUUAGAGGACGAUCCGCCACACUGGAACUGAGACACGGUCCAGACGCCUACGGGAGGCAGCAGUGGGGAAUCUUGGACAAUGGGCGCAAGCCUGAUCCAGCAAUGCCGCGUGCGUGAAGAAGGCCUUCGGGUUGUAAAGCGCUUUUGUCAGGGAGCAAAUCCUUGUGGCUAAUGCCCACCGGGGAUGAGAGUACCUGAAGAAUAAGGACCGGCUAACUACGUGCCAGCAGCCGCAGUAA